Molecule: long non-coding RNA, 3166 nt
Filed under: Lynx pardinus (Iberian lynx)
Lineage: Eukaryota; Metazoa; Chordata; Mammalia; Carnivora; Felidae
Source: RNAcentral
ACAAAUGUAAGUACACGAUUUUAUCGCCUGUCCGACCCGCAGCCCACGCCCAUCCCUGACCGACCCCAAAUUCCCUGGCAGUCAAGAUUCCCGCCGGUGCGCCCGCUUAAGCAUCCCUAGGUGUCAGGCUGGGACGCGCCCGGGUCCGCUAGAGACUCAAAAGCAUCUCCCGCCGCGGGGCGGGAUCUGGGUGCCCUAGCCCUGGGCUCAGAGGCGGGUAACUUUGCUAAUCUCCCCCAGCGGCGGGGCGGGGGUGGGGGGUGGGGGGGACGUCGCACAACCGCUGAGCCCUGUCCGUGAAGACUAAACAAGGAAAGGAACAGGCUGUAAACACACAUCCUGACACGUGAGUGACAUUUACACGGUGCGAGAAGCCGCAGCCGAGGGGAAGGCAGGGGGUAGGGGGAGCAGGUAAAAGUAAUAUUCCGAGGCGUCGGAAACGGCGGGCCCUCGACGCCCCUCCCCCAGAUAGGGAAAAAGAAUCCCGAAAUCCCCAGAACCUGCCUUUUGUGGGAGGUGACAGGUGAACGGGAUUCAGGUCUGGCUACUCACGCCGCUGCCUACCUCCCCACCAUCUGCUUCCUCGCAGACAAGCAGACCCGGCGCAUAAUGAGGUAGCAGCCUCCAGCCGGCCACCGUGACUAACUCAGAACAAAAGCGCUCCCUCCACGCCUCUUCCAACAAAGGGGCCACCAGCCCCGGCGCUCCCCGAAGGCUGCGGGGCUCCCGGCUGCCGGCUGCGGAGCUGCCGCGCGCAAACUUCCCGGGGCUCCCGGGGCUGCCGGCGCCACGGAGCCUGGGCCGCGGAGGGAGGAAGCACACGCGGCCCAGAGAAAGUGAGGCCGGGCGGGGCGGGGGACGAGGGGGUGGGAUCCGGGGAGCCGCGGAAGGAGGGUGAUUGAUCAGUGCGCUGUUCCCGGCGCUCGGUCCCGUUAUUAGAGGCGGCCAAAGCAGGGCCACGCAAUAACCUCCGAAUCGCCAACUAAUUGACGCUGCAGGCAACUACUUCAUUGUGCGCGCUGGUUUUAUGUCUUCAUAGCCGGUGAUUGACAAGGUGUAAUUAGUCAUCUCACUCGGUGAUAAACAUGGGCACCCUCCUCCCGCGGCAUCAGGCCGUGUGUACCAGCAGAGGAAGCGAUAGUUGACGCUGAUAUACCAUUAAAUCAAAAUGAAGACGUUCAGAAGUGUGUGUUUGCUGUGACGCUCUGAUGGUUUAUUUCUCAAAUACGGCACCAACAGAUUUACUUGAUUUGCAAGUUAACUACAACAUUAACUGGUUUUAUUUAUUUUGCCUCUUCCUUCCUCUUCCUAGGCAGGGAUGUUGCUCUUGGAGAAUGUGAAGACAGUUUGCUUCUUGACAAGCGAGCGAGCGGGCGCCCAGAUUUUUGCAGCCUCUCCGAGAGUCUCCCCCGAGGGAAAGGCAGGCAGAGAAAUCGCCGGAUUUGGGAGUCACUAGGGAAGGAUUCCGCGCGGAGGGAGCCGCCCUCCUUGGCCCCAGACCGGCUGCCUAGGGCCCCCCCUUUGGGCACUGCCAGCGGAUGACCUGAAACUCUGAGGAUGGUCUUGGGGAUUGGGGUCGGGGAAGCCUCUCGGAUAAUAACUGCAAAUAGAAAAAGAGGCAAAAACAAUUUCUUCUCUGCCUUGAAGCAGAAAGGACUGUGUUCUUAAAGCCGCUGGUUGCAGUCACAAGGCCAGUUGCCUGCCUCCGUUGCCUGCGUAAAGUGUAAUGUCGCCGGUUUUUCCAGUAGCACCAUUCAACAAAUUAUAUUCCUUGCUCCCGGGAGUGGGUCCUGCUUAGGGGAGUGUGUGUGUGUGUGUGUGUGUGUGUGUGUGUCCCUCUACAGUGAGGCUGCUACUAGAAGUGCUGGUUAACUCCUUCCAGAAACCUGAAGGUUUAAAUUUUAAAAGAAGAGGGAGCAUUGCUCCCUGGGAUUGCUAUAGUCUGUCUUGACCCUAAUUCUGGUUAGAGAAUGGCAGGGACUGAACAAAGCCACCAACAUCUGAAAGUCCACUUCGAAGGUAUCACACUAGCCCCCAGGAUCCGCGCCCCCCCCCCCCCCCCCCCCCCCCCCCCCCCGCCGCCCUCCAGUGGGGUAGGCUUCCUGCACUUUCCCCUUUCUAACCUCUGUCUCCUGUUUAUACAGCAGAGGGAUUAAUGGUGGUUCUUUGCCACUGCGCAGGAAUGUGGGGUUGUGGACAUCUUCAAGAAAAGAUGGGGUGAGGCCAAGUCACAGGGAUGGCAGAAAAGCCCCGUAUCUUCAACAAGGAUUCCCCCCUCCCUUCCCAGGCCUGUGGGCCUCCUUCAGCAAAGAGGGGGAGUGUUUUAUAUUGAUGUGAGAGGCUGUCAGUCAGCAGCAAAUCAGCUCAGGCAUGGCUACCUCUUUAUGAAAUCAGCUCAUUGCCUUGGUCACACCUUAGAGAAAAUCCGGUGGUCGCCGCUAUCGAUAAUAAAAACUGGUGGGGCCUUAGUUGUUUCCAAGAAGAACCUCAUGUCUGUGGACAGAUAAAUGCCCAUCUCAGGCAGAGAAAGCCCAAUUCUUCCUUCCCUUCUCCCUGCAGCGAUCUGAACAAUUCCGAAACCGCCUCCCUGGGCGUCAGCUGAGCAGGUUGGGGGAACUAACCAGGGCCCUCUCUCUAGGGCCCUGUUAAAUGCACAGAACUUAAAAUGAAACACGAAGUGUGAAUUUCAGGUUUGAACAUGAUGCAUCAGGAUACGUGGAGGCUGGCAGCCCCUUUCCUCCCUCCUGCAUUUCGGUAGCAGGUAUUAAUAUUGUAUUAAAUGUUAUGAGGAAGUAAGGGCUGCGGAGAGGAAUAUGCUCAGAUGCAAUUUUGUCAAGGUUUUUAUCUGUGAUUAUGAUUCCAGAUGUAGAAACUCCCGGAGGAGGGAAAUGAGGGGCUGCUGGCGUGUGACAUGUGUUUUAAGGUGUUUGGCAGUGUUUCUCAAAGUGGUGACAAAAUGUUCAAUUUUAUUACAGCGAAUCGGUAAAAAAAAAUAUGAAUACUAGGUCAGAGACGGUUCACCCCAGCAAACGGAUUUACCCUUAUUGAUUUGGGUGGGGAAAGUUUGUAUCUGGGUCCUGCUUAAAUCACAUUGUCAACAAUGUAAAUCUGUCAUAUCAGAUUAUUCUUAAAGAACACUUGUAACAAAAUACACAAUAGCUGAUUG